CUCACAGGGCUCCUAGGGCCUGUCACCAGAUGGGAAAGGAUGCCUGGGGAGGUCAAGGUCACACCCUGAAGCCCCAGGCCUUCCAGUUCACAGGCCAGGAGCCUGGCUGAGAACCCUCCUGCCUCCUGCCUCCCCCACUCCCAACCCCCUGCGCGCCAAACAGCCCCGGAGCCAGGAGGAGCCCAAUAACAGGGCAGCCGACCAGGGGCAGCUCAGCGGACCACAGGGUGGGCGUCUGCCGGUCCAGCGUGGACCCAGCCUCGGGGCCCGGCCGGACAGCGACGCAUUGGCACCGCCACCUCGGAGAAGGGGCAGAGGUGUGGGGGAGGUCAGGGUCCCAGGCCUCAGUCUGCGGGAAAAGCCCCACCCCCUCCACCCCCGGUGUCCCCCCCACACCAAAGAGGUUUAUGAAGACCUGUGCAGUGCACCAGAAAAAUACCGCUAUCAUUAAGGGAUUUAACGACAGCUUUGCCCAAUAUUGGGGAUUUGUUAUGUCUCUUAUUACACGUUUUAACAAGCACAUUUCUCCGAGACGCAGCCCCGCGUGAGGGCCGUCCUCUCCCUCUGCCUUGUGUGACUUUCAUUAGAAGGCGUUUUAUAAAGCCACGGAUCACAGAUGCACGCCCAGCCCGCAGCCUUGGCUGGCCGGGGCCUGGUGUCGUGGGCUGGGUGGCCGGGGUGUGCCCGCGGGUCUGUCUGCCUGUUUCUGCGGGUGCAGAGAGGAACCCCUGUACUCAGACCGCACCCCUCCUGACACUCCCGGCCGGGAGCACGACUCAGGCACGGACCCCAGGCUGGAGUCGGGCUUCCUGCCCCUUCUGCGACGUGAUCCCAGAUGAGCCUCGGGCCUCCUGAGCCUCAGCGUCCCCAUGUGUGACUUGGGCAUCUGAGCAGACAAAUGACUUCCAGCAUAUCUCAGCAGUAGGACUCUGUUUGCACACAAACCAUCAAAUAGCGGAAAAGCAAAUUUAAAAAGGCGGAAAUGGCGCUGAUUCUGCAGAAGCAAAUCUCGGCCGCCCCGCGCCUUACCCCCAGGAGGCCGCUGGAUUGCCACCAGAUGCCUGGGGUCUUUGGAGCACAGCUUAGGAUGCUGGCUGGUGGGCUGAGGACUGUGAUGUCCCCAGCUCCAGGGCCUGGGGCCCUAGCAUUGCGCCGACCGUGCCCACGGAACGACAGCCCUGCCCCGAGCCGCAGCCCUGCAGGCCCAGCCAGCUCGCCCCCCACCCCGGGGCCCCCGGGGCAGGCCACGCACAGGGGCGGCAGCAGGAAGAGUAGGUAAUUCCAGAGCCAAGCCCUGACUUCCGACAUGCACACCCCUCCCGACGCUGAAAUGUGUCUUCUGAGCUCUCUGCUCCGCGCUGCCCUUCCCGGCCCUCGGAGCACGUGCUCAGGCCUUCGCCGCGGCCUCAGAAGCUGGUGUAUAAAAGGGGAAAGCACGGGCUCCCUGAGGGCAGCUGGAGGCGAGCCGACCUGUAGCUGAGACCGAUUCCCGCCAAGAAACUUCCAGACAGGCAAGAUGUGCGCUGGGAAGGAUCCAGGUGAACAGGCCGAUGGUGGACGGGGAGACCCCUGCCCUCUGGUUCCCUGGCCAGAGCCCCCCCGGCACACUGACAACGGGUCGCCCGGGCCCGGGAUGACUGCAGCCUCCCUCCGGGCUCCCAGAGACCCUCCACACGGCCAGGCUCCUCCUCCAGCAUCCACACACUGAUGCCUUCUCCGGACUUCUGGAGCCCCAUCUACACCACAAUGGCAAGGGGCCAGAGCGGGGUCCGCCGGUCUCUGACUCCCCUGCCCCUAGCAGAGGGCUGGCUCUGAAGAGGUUCGUAAACAGUCGGCUCCAAAGAAGCUCAAAGAAAUCAGUGGUGGGGCCAGGACCAGGGCCGGAGCCGGUGCGGGAAGGGGCAGGUGAGGCCCCUGGCCUCCGGGGGUCAGGAUCGGGAGCUCACCGCUUGCCCCCUUAUUCUGGAAGGAUCCCUGGGUAUGAGAACCUUCCCCGAGGUCACCCGGGUCCUCCCUCCCUUUCCCAGACAGAUGCCCUCAGGACAGGAACGUGUGGAAGCCGGGACAGAGCGGCGGACGGACGCGGCCCCAGCCGUGACAAGCUCCCCGCCCCCCCCCCCCGUCCCCCCCAGAAACGAGCGAAGGCAUAAAUAAAUAAUAAGCCCUGCCGAUCGCGCACCGCUUCCCAGAUAGGGCUGGGCACGGCCCGGCGAUUACGCCCACAAUACCUCGCAUUCAUUACGCCCCUUAAAAACGGUGUGCUGUGUCUGGAAAACAGGAAGUGGCCGUCAGUCUCCCGUGUAAAAGCCAUCUGAAGCCCGUGGACCAGGCAUGUUCUCAAUCAGGAAGCAGGCAGUAAAUAAACAUUUACGUCCCGCGGCCGCGCGCACCCGCCUGCCCCCGGGCAACAAAGGGGCACGGAGAGCGGAAAUUUGUUUAGUCCUAUAAAAGCACAGGCCAUAUAUCAAUAGAUGGUUAAAAAUGGAAACGUGGCCGGCUAAUGGACGGUAUUGAUUUUAAUAAGCGUUAAGUACAUGGAGCUCGCAGAUAAGGGCCGCUGGGCCAUCCCUCCGCGCUCUGGGAAAGUGACUCAUGCGGCGAAAAAAAAAAAAAAAAAAAAACAAACCUCUUUUCCAAAUUGAAACUUUCACCUGGCGUAUUGGGGUCUGGGGGAGUGGUUUCCAAAUCGGCAUCUAUCCCGGAAUAUCGAGCGUGACGCGGGUGAUAUAUGGAGGCGUUUCUGCCGCGAGGUCAAGCACGUCGCACUCAAAACAGUAGCGGCACGGGCUCGCGGGCGCCUUGGUGGCAGGGCCACGGCCGGGCCCCCGCGGGGUGUCCGAGCGCACCAGCGCCCGCUCCAGGCUGCCGAGACGCCCCCCGGGAACCCCGCGUCACCCCGUUUGUUCUGCUUCCUCCCACCCGUUCACGCUGGGCUCCCCACCUGCCGGGCGUCCACAGUACCCGGGCCCUGAGAGACGGGGCCGCGGGGCCAGACGUCCACCCAGAGCAUCAGGUGCCUGCCUGGGACCAAAGCCCCUACCUCGGAGGAAGUCACAGCUCCGUGACAAUGACCAGACGGCCCUUCCCCAGACCGGAGCUGGUAGCGGCCGGCUGGGGUCAGGCGUGAGGGUCACGCUGGUCCCUGGGCCCGGAAAGGCCCGACCAAGUGGCAGAAUGCCCUCACAGACAUCCACUUGGAAUCUUCUGCUUGUCAUGGUAGAUUAGGUUGCUGCUGUUCCUGCAACACAGGAGCUCCACAAAGGCAUGGUCUUACCUGUUUGUUGGCCACCAUAUACCUGAGUCAACAUGGCAGUUGGUCUAGCACAGGUUACUGAACAUGGAAGGUGUUCAGGGAAUGGGUGAGUGAUAGAGAACAUGAAAGAAGGAAGAAACACAAGUAAGUAAAAAGGGUUUGAACCGUCAGGUCAUGGUUACAGAAGUAAGCAUGAGGCACCACGCCCCCACCCCUGCUUCCUCACAUUGGUGCGGGCACACCUUCACAGAGCUGGGCACAUCGCAGGCCUCAGACACUGGCUGCCUGAGCAAGUUCAUGAAAGAUGCCCUGUUUUCGCCUUGCUCCAAGGCCACGGUACAGGUGCAGUCCCUGCCCUAUAAGGUACACUUUUUGGGUUUUGCCCCAAGACCUCCUCUUCUCCACAAGUCAGUGCAGUUUUCCUGUCAAAGAGCCGAAAUGGGAGGGGCCGAGGCUUUGUGGGCCUGACCACCUUACCUCUGCUGCUGUAAUGUGAAAACAGCCAUGGAGAACACAUGAGCGGGUGUGGCUCCGUUUGUAUAAAACUUCAUUUACGGACACCAAACCACAGAUUUCAGGUAACGUACUCACGUCAUGAAGUAUGACUCUGUUUGCUUUCCAUUUCCAGCCGUUUAGAAAUAUAAAAACCACUCUUAGCUCGCAGUCCCCUCUGACUCAGAUGGCAGGCCAGACUCGGUCUGUAGAAUGUAAUCUGCCAACCCCUUUCCGAGGGUAGGGUCCCUCCCUCGCCCCUAAUAUGCACAUUUGGUGCAUAAGUGUGUACUAUUCCGUAAGUGACUUUCAGCAUUUGGUAGAUCGUGGCCAUGUUUCCCCUUCGCCUUUCCUGACCGACGUGCCGAUCACGUGUCUGUGGGGUUCAGUCAGCAAACGCCGCAGUGACGCCUCGGAACGGACCUCCCCGGGUCAGGCUGUCCCAAAACAGACCCGACCUUCACCCCCACGGUCAGGCCAGCGUGGGCCGGCUGCCCCACGGAGGGGCCGGGGCAGGACGGCGUGGCCUCCAGGUGAGUUCUCGUCCAGGGCGCCUGCCCCACGGACAAGAGGCCGCUGUCACACCGUGUCACCCACACCUACAGAAGUCCCAGGGCCCAGCCCAAAGCUCACAGCAGCUCGCCACCCCAGCCACCCUGAAGGGGGUGAGUGUUUGCUGAGCAACAGUCCAAACUAUCACAUAUGUUCUUGUUACUUUCCCUAAAUGACUAUUAAUUCCAUUAAUAGCCCACGGGCGCUGCAGGGCCGGGGUUGCGUUUGCGCUGUUGGCCUCCAGAAAGCACUGAGCAAAUAUUUGUUUGACAAGGAAGGGACACCCAGCUGUCUAUUAUGCCAUUUGCAUGAUAUUAUCGCCCCCCUCCUGGUUGUCCCCGGUGUCCCCUCAGGAGGAGUGACCAGCAGCUGUCCAGCCCCGGACGCCUGCGCCAGGCUGCGGUUCCGGCCGGAACAAAACACCACGGACCAGGCCACCCGACACAGGCACCCGCUGUCUCCCGGUCCCGGAGGCUGGAGGUCCAAGGUGAAGGCAUCGGCAGGGCUGGGCCCUCCUGACGCCUCUGUCCCUGGUGUCUGGAUGACCAUUCUCUCCCCGUGUCCUCACGAGGUCGGCCCUCUGUGUGUGUCUGUGUCCCCCAUCUCCUCUGCUUUUAGGGACAUCAGUCACAACACAGCAGGGCCACCCUGCGGUCUCAUGUUACCCUAACUACCUCUCUAAAGACCCCGCCUCCAAAUGCAGUCACAUUCAGGGGCCCUGGGGCACUAGGGCUCCCACAGAUGAACCUGGGGGCGGGGGUCACAGUUCAGCCCAGAGCACGGGGCCUGCUGAGGAGGUGAGCUCUGUCCCCCAAGAUGGGUGAAGGGCCCAGCCAGGUCUCCAGAAUCCCCACAG
Felis catus (domestic cat) is the source of this 5153-nucleotide long non-coding RNA. RefSeq lists it as uncharacterized. The transcript is spliced from 3 exons. Lineage: Eukaryota; Metazoa; Chordata; Mammalia; Carnivora; Felidae. The record is from RefSeq and is a predicted model, not a curated record.